CAUCCCCUGCCGCAGCACAACGCCCCCAACUUCCCUCACCUCCUUCUCCCGACCCCCAGUUGAGCCGUCGUGCUACAACCACCGGCCCCCUCCACCUCCCUCCCCCUCCCGUCCAGCGCCACCGCACCAGUUCCUCUCCUGUCCACCUUCUACCGGCGCCGCGCCGUCCCUCCCACGCCCCGCCGCCCCUGACCCCGGCCGGUGCUCCUCCCACCCCCACCCCACCCCAGCUGCUCGCUAUCCCCACCACCUUCCCCAGUACACCACCACCAACCUUCCUGUCACCAGAUCCAUGGCCGCCGCACAGCCCCGGCCGACUACCACCCGCGCCGCCACGGCGGGCGCCGUCGGAGCUCCUGUGCGCCCCCCUGCAACACUCCGUCGCCACGGUCCAAUCCCCACAGCCCCCACCGGCCGCCACGCCAGCAAACUACAUCCUCGACGGCGGCGGAUCUCCACCACCACGCGCUGCCCCAGCCUCCUCGGGCUUGACGUCCGCCACCGUAGAGGAGCAGAACCACCACCGUGGCCAUGCGCGUGGAGGCCAAGCCCAGCGCGGCCAUGGCCCGGAGCUCGCCUCUGGCCUAUUCUAGUCUUCCUCUCCGACCACGGCCCAAAUCCGUGCCCCCCGUGCCGCCCCGCGCGCUAGCCGAAGAUGCCCGGGAUCGACUACCCAUCAGCAAGCGGAUCUGGAGGCCCCCAGUUGCCGGCGGCUCUACUUGAUCCACUCUGUCUCCUCUGCCACUGGAGACGCACAACCGUGGUGGUGCAGUGCACCGCGACUCCCGUGUGCAGUGCAGUGGGAGUGUGCCCCUCCUCCCCUUGCAGUCUAGCCGCCCCGCACUUGCAGUGCGCCGGCGCGCGCGAUGCGGCUCCAGCUUUGCCGUGCAGUUCAUUGACGAUAGCGUGCACUCCCCAGUUUUCAGAUGGGUGCUACAAGCGUCCGCACCACUUCUUUGAUCCACUAUGGAGGCAAAAACGAGAUGGCAAAAACAUUCUUGUUCAGAAGUCCAGUUGUGAAUUUUAUGUGAACAAUUCAUGUAGCAGCGGACAUGCAGUGCAAAAAUGGUGUUUUCCGUGUUUGAUGAUUUUAUGUAUAAAAGUUAUAUGGACUCUUUGAAAAUUGUUUACCAAAGAAGUUCAUUUCGAAUUGUGUUGCGACUCA
Long non-coding RNA from Triticum urartu, 1165 nucleotides. RefSeq lists it as uncharacterized. Lineage: Eukaryota; Viridiplantae; Streptophyta; Magnoliopsida; Poales; Poaceae. The record is from RefSeq and is a predicted model, not a curated record.